RNAcentral lists this ribosomal RNA (150 nucleotides) under Staphylea pinnata. RNAcentral's name for it is "5.8S ribosomal RNA". It matches the Rfam family "5.8S ribosomal RNA". Rfam says of the family: 5.8S ribosomal RNA (5.8S rRNA) is a component of the large subunit of the eukaryotic ribosome. Lineage: Eukaryota; Viridiplantae; Streptophyta; Magnoliopsida; Crossosomatales; Staphyleaceae. The record is from RNAcentral.
AACGGAUAUCUCGGCUCUCGCAUCGAUGAAGAACGUAGCGAAAUGCGAUACUUGGUGUGAAUUGCAGAAUCCCGUGAACCAUCGAGUCUUUGAACGCAAGUUGCGCCCAAAGCCAUUAGGCCGAGGGCACGUCUGUCUGGGCGUCACACA